UCCCAGGUGGCUCAGAGGGUAAAGCAUCUGCCUGCAAUGCAGGAGACCUGGGUUCGAUCCCCGGGUUGGGAA
This 72-nucleotide transfer RNA is filed under the name Ovis aries (sheep). It matches the Rfam family "tRNA". Rfam says of the family: Transfer RNA (tRNA) molecules are approximately 80 nucleotides in length. Their secondary structure includes four short double-helical elements and three loops (D, anti-codon, and T loops). Further hydrogen bonds mediate the characteristic L-shaped molecular structure. tRNAs have two regions of fundamental functional importance: the anti-codon, which is responsible for specific mRNA codon recognition, and the 3' end, to which the tRNAs corresponding amino acid is attached (by aminoacyl-tRNA synthetases). tRNAs cope with the degeneracy of the genetic code in two manners: having more than one tRNA (with a specific anti-codon) for a particular amino acid; and 'wobble' base-pairing, i.e. permitting non-standard base-pairing at the 3rd anti-codon position. The record is from Rfam by way of RNAcentral. Lineage: Eukaryota; Metazoa; Chordata; Mammalia; Artiodactyla; Bovidae.